This 234-nucleotide ribosomal RNA is filed under the name Triticum aestivum (bread wheat). RNAcentral's name for it is "partial small subunit ribosomal RNA". Lineage: Eukaryota; Viridiplantae; Streptophyta; Magnoliopsida; Poales; Poaceae. The record is from RNAcentral.
AUGUCCGCCGACUGCCACAGCUCGUCCGCCGGCUUGUGCAGCGGCAGCACGUGCGCCUUUGCCCACGGCUCCAGUUGCUGCAGUACCUCCAGACUCUACGGCGCAAGCAAGAAAGAGGUUCUGGAGAAGAAGCUGAAAGAGAAAGAUGGUGACAUAGAAGCUCUCAAGAAGAAGCAGAGAAUGGAGAAGAGAAUGAUUGCAAUGGAGAUCAGUUGCUAUCCAGAGAUAGGAUGA